RNAcentral lists this ribosomal RNA (357 nucleotides) under uncultured soil bacterium. RNAcentral's name for it is "bacterial SSU rRNA". It matches the Rfam family "Bacterial small subunit ribosomal RNA", at positions 26 to 390 of the family's 1533-position model. The record is from RNAcentral.
AGAUUGAACGCUGGCGGCAUGCUUUACACAUGCAAGUCGAACGGUAACAGGCCGCAAGGUGCUGACGAGUGGCGAACGGGUGAGUAAUGUAUCGGAACGUGCCCAGUCGUGGGGGAUAACGCAGCGAAAGCUGCGCUAAUACCGCAUACGAUCUAUGGAUGAAAGCGGGGGACCGUAAGGCCUCGCGCGAUUGGAGCGGCCGAUAUCAGAUUAGGUAGUGGUGGGUAAAGGCUCACAAGCCAACGAUCUGUAGCUGGUCUGAGAGGACGACCAGCCACACUGGGACUGAGACACCGGCCCAGACCUCCUACGGGAGCAGGACAGGUGGGGUAAUUUUGGAACAAGUGGGACGACGAA